GACGAACGCUGGCGGCGUGCUUAACACAUGCAAGUCGAACGGAAAGGCCCUGCUUUUGUGGGGUGCUCGAGUGGCGAACGGGUGAGUAACACGUGAGUAACCUGCCCUUGACUUUGGGAUAACUUCAGGAAACUGGGGCUAAUACCGGAUAGGAGCUCCUGCUGCAUGGUGGGGGUUGGAAAGUUUCGGCGGUUGGGGAUGGACUCGCGGCUUAUCAGCUUGUUGGUGGGGUAGUGGCUUACCAAGGCUUUGACGGGUAGCCGGCCUGAGAGGGUGACCGGCCACAUUGGGACUGAGAUACGGCCCAGACUCCUACGGGAGGCAGCAGUGGGGAAUAGUACACAAUGGGCGGAAGCCUGAUGCAGCAACGCCGCGUGCGGGAUGACGGCCUUCGGGUUGUAAACCGCUUUCGCCUGUGACGAAGCGUGAGUGACGGUAAUGGGUAAAGAAGCACCGGCUAACUACGUG
RNAcentral lists this ribosomal RNA (468 nucleotides) under uncultured bacterium. RNAcentral describes it as "partial 16S ribosomal RNA". It matches the Rfam family "Bacterial small subunit ribosomal RNA", at positions 28 to 507 of the family's 1533-position model. The record is from RNAcentral.